This is a long non-coding RNA of Micropterus salmoides (largemouth bass), 408 nucleotides long. RefSeq lists it as uncharacterized. The transcript has 3 exons. The record is from RefSeq and is a predicted model, not a curated record. NCBI's taxonomy places the organism in Eukaryota, Metazoa, Chordata, Actinopteri, Centrarchiformes, Centrarchidae.
GCGCGAACUGUUUGUCUUUCUUUGGAUCAGUUCGGACUGGAAGCUUUGGGGAAAGAGUUUAUAACGGUUCAAUCUUUUCUCCACCCCUGGCUGACAGCUCGGGAUUAAUAGGAAAUGAACACAUCGGCCAUCCCCCACUCCACUACUGAUGAUUUGUUGGGUGUCAUGUGAGGGUUUUCUGGGUUUCACAUGGCUAGUUGGAGUUGGAUAUUGUAUUUUGGCUAUAAAAUCUUUGUUAUUUAUACCAUGGUCAUGGAAAAUGGUUAAAAUCUAAAUGGCUGGCAGUAAUCAUCUAUCAAGACAAACUUAUCGCUUGUCGCUAAUUAAAACGUUAUCUUGUGUGUUUAGGCCGUAGAAUCUCGUGUGUCUCCUGGCUUUAGCUUUAUAUGUAGAGUAUGGUAUCAUGAG